GGAAAGGGAACGCACCCAGGCUUUCGAUCCUUCGGAAGAGCUCCCGGAGGCAGACGCAUCCACGCGGGAUGCGGAAUCGUUACGGGCCUUGCGCAUUGAGCUGGUCCACAAUGGUGCUCC
The submitters of this non-coding RNA (120 nucleotides) gave its source as unclassified sequences. The record is from Rfam.